This 1361-nucleotide ribosomal RNA is filed under the name uncultured bacterium. RNAcentral's name for it is "bacterial SSU rRNA". It matches the Rfam family "Bacterial small subunit ribosomal RNA". The record is from RNAcentral.
AGAGUUUGAUCCUGGCUCAGGAUGAACGCUGGCGGCGUGCUUAACACAUGCAAGUCGAAUGUAGUUUACUACAUGGCGGACGGGUGAGUAACGCGUGAGCAAUCUGCCCAUAUCUGGGGGAUAACAGUUGGAAACGACUGAUAAUACCGCAUAACAUGGUUUGAAGGCAUCUUCUUUCCAUCAAAGAUUUAUCGGAUAUGGAUGAGCUCGCGUCUGAUUAGCUUGUUGGUGAGGUAACGGCUCACCAAGGCGACGAUCAGUAGCCGACCUGAGAGGGUGAUCGGCCACAUUGGAACUGAGACACGGUCCAAACUCCUACGGGAGGCAGCAGUGGGGAAUAUUGGGCAAUGGAGGAAACUCUGACCCAGCAACGCCGCGUGAAUGAUGAAGGUCUUCGGAUUGUAAAGUUCUUUUCUAAGGGAAGAAGAAAGUGACGGUACCUUAGGAAUAAGCCUCGGCUAACUCUGUGCCAGCAGCCGCGGUAAUACAGAGGUCUCAAGCGUUGUUCGGAAUCACUGGGCGUAAAGCGUGCGUAGGCUGUUUCGUAAGUCGUGUGUGAAAGGCGCGGGCUCAACCCGCGGACGGCACAUGAUACUGCGAGACUAGAGUAAUGGAGGGGGAACCGGAAUUCUCGGUGUAGCAGUGAAAUGCGUAGAUAUCGAGAGGAACACUCGUGGCGAAGGCGGGUUCCUGGACAUUAACUGACGCUGAGGCACGAAGGCCAGGGGAGCGAAAGAAAGUAGAUACCCCUGUAGUCCUGGCAGUAAACGGUGCACGCUUGGUGUGCGGGGAAUCGACCCCCUGCGUGCCGGAGCUAACGCGUUAAGCGUGCCGCCUGGGGAGUACGGUCGCAAGAUUAAAACUCAAAGAAAUUGACGGGGACCCGCACAAGCGGUGGAGUAUGUGGCUUAAUUCGAUGCAACGCGAAGAACCUUACCUGGGCUUGACAUGUAAUGAACAACAUGUGAAAGCAUGCGACUCUUCGGAGGCGUUACACAGGUGCUGCAUGGCCGUCGUCAGCUCGUGUCGUGAGAUGUUUGGUUAAGUCCAGCAACGAGCGCAACCCCUGUUGCCAGUUACCAGCACGUGAAGGUGGGGACUCUGGCGAGACUGCCCAGAUCAACUGGGAGGAAGGUGGGGACGACGUCAGGUCAGUAUGGCCCUUAUGCCCAGGGCUGCACACGUACUACAAUGCCCAGUACAGAGGGGGCCGAAGCCGCGAGGCGGAGGAAAUCCUAAAAACUGGGCCCAGUUCGGACUGUAGGCUGCAACCCGCCUACACGAAGCCGGAAUCGCUAGUAAUGGCGCAUCAGCUACGGCGCCGUGAAUACGUUCCCGGGUCUUGCACUCACCGCCCGUCA